Molecule: non-coding RNA, 106 nt
Filed under: Blautia sp.
Lineage: Bacteria; Bacillati; Bacillota; Clostridia; Lachnospirales; Lachnospiraceae
Also listed under: 1 other name
Description: TPP sequence
Rfam family: TPP riboswitch aptamer (THI element)
About the family: Vitamin B(1) in its active form thiamin pyrophosphate (TPP) is an essential coenzyme that is synthesised by coupling of pyrimidine and thiazole moieties in bacteria. The previously detected thiamin-regulatory element, thi box was extended, resulting in a new, highly conserved RNA secondary structure, the THI element, which is widely distributed in eubacteria and also occurs in some archaea.
Source: RNAcentral
AUUGUAAGCAAGGGGAGCCUGUAUACAGGCUGAGAGGAGAUUGGAUAAUUUCGACCCUGAUACCUGAUUUGGGUAAUGCCAGCCAGGGAUGCAGCCCAGCUUUUUU